UGUGGGAGGGGGCUUGCUCCCGAUAGCGGUGGCUUAGUCAGUAAUCUGUGACUGAACUGCCGCUAUCGGGAGCAAGCCCCCUCCCACA
This 88-nucleotide unclassified non-coding RNA is filed under the name Pseudomonas libanensis. Lineage: Bacteria; Pseudomonadati; Pseudomonadota; Gammaproteobacteria; Pseudomonadales; Pseudomonadaceae. The record is from RNAcentral.